RNAcentral lists this ribosomal RNA (523 nucleotides) under uncultured bacterium. RNAcentral describes it as "partial 16S ribosomal RNA". It matches the Rfam family "Bacterial small subunit ribosomal RNA", at positions 28 to 523 of the family's 1533-position model. The record is from RNAcentral.
GACGAACGCUGGCGGCGUGCCUAAUACAUGCAAGUCGAACGCUUUUUCUUUCACCGGAGCUUGCUCCACCGAAAGAAAAAGAGUGGCGAACGGGUGAGUAACACGUGGGUAACCUGCCCAUCAGAAGGGGAUAACACUUGGAAACAGGUGCUAAUACCGUAUAACACUAUUUUCCGCAUGGAAGAAAGUUGAAAGGCGCUUUUGCGUCACUGAUGGAUGGACCCGCAGUGCAUUAGCUAGUUGGUGAGGUAACGGCUCACCAAGGCAACGAUGCAUGGCCGACCUGGGAGGGUGAUCGGCCACACUGGGACUGAGACACGGCCCAGACUCCUACGGGAGGCAGCAGUAGGGAAUCUUCGGCAAUGGACGAAAGUCUGACCGAGCAACGCCGCGUGAGUGAAGAAGGUUUUCGGAUCGUAAAACUCUGUUGUUAGAGAAGAACAAGGAUGAGAGUAAAACGUUCAUCCCUUGACGGUAUCUAACCAGAAAGCCACAGCUAACUACGUGCCAGCCGCCGCCGUAA